Long non-coding RNA from Falco peregrinus (peregrine falcon), 3136 nucleotides. RefSeq lists it as uncharacterized. The record is from RefSeq and is a predicted model, not a curated record. Lineage: Eukaryota; Metazoa; Chordata; Aves; Falconiformes; Falconidae. The transcript has 6 exons.
GCAUAGCCUGUGAGGGGAAAGCGUGGGUCUCACCAGGGGAGCUGCCUGCUUCUCUGACACAACAAAGACAAUGGAAAAUGAGAGUGCGGAGGGAAAGGGAGUGAUUCCAGGCACACUGUCAGGAUUUCCACUGCUCUGUUCCUCGCUGCCUCUGGUUCGUCCGUCAGAUCUUCAUUGGGCUGCAAGUAUCAACACAGUUGAGUUAAAAUUGUGCCCUGGGUACCCUGAGAUAGUACCUGGGUAGUCUGAGAGAGUGGUAUUUUCAGGACUUGUGAUUUCAAGCGUAAUUUACAUAUUACAUAAUGAAAUUUUGGAUUUAAUUAAUUUUCACUGUACAAAACGAGAGCACCGAGAAGUUGCUCUGAGCAGACAGCAGGCAGUGUUUUGGAGUUACAUGAGGAAGGAAAAUGCCACACAAAAGGGCUGAGCUCAAACUGCAGCAAUUGGCAUCCCCAGAAGGAUGUGCUGGGGAGACCAGACAUCUGUCUGGUUGAGGGAGCAAUCCCUCCUGCAUGUCCCCUUGGGAUGUCGCACUGGGAAGGACACACAGUGCAGCAAGCAGAGGGAGGCUUGAUCCCAUGUUUGGGCUGAGGGUCUGGGAUGAAAACCAAGUUCCCUGAAGUUCAUACAAGGAUAUUUUUUAAAUCUGUUCUUCCUGUAGUAUAAAUCUCUCCUUACCUGUUCUGCAAGUGAAUCACCCACCUGCUCCCAAAUAAAACUACCAAUUUUCCUUCUGAUUUCUGCCAAAAACAAAAAAACAAAUGACUGUGAGAGCAUCAGAUAAUGAGACGGUGCAGCUGUCACUGCCUGUGCAAGCCCCCACCUCUUGCAGGUGCUAGCGAGGGCGCUCAGGAGCCCUGGCAGGAGCGCACAGCACCUCACUGCUCGCUAACGCCAUCCGGGUGAGACCAGUGGCGAGUGGUGUCCCUCAGGGGUCCGUACUGGGACCAGUAUUAUUUAACAUCUUUGUCAGGCAACAUGGACAGUGGGAUCAAAGGCACCCUCAGCAAGUCUGACACCACCAACCUGAGUGGUGCAGGCAACACGCUGGAGGGACAGGGUGCCGUCCAGAGGGACCUCGACAGGUUUGAGAGGUGAGACUGUGCGAACCCCAUGAAGUUCAACAAGGCCAAGUGCAAGGUCCUCCACAUGGGUCGGGGCAGUCCCAGCCACAAGGACAGGCUGGGCAGGGAAUGGAUCGGGAGCAGCCCUGAAGAGAAGGGAUUGGGGGUGCUGGUGGAGGAGAAGCUCAGCGUGGCCCAGCCAUGCGCGCUUGCAGCCCAGAAAGCCAACUGAGCCCUGGGCUGUGUCACCAGCGGCAUGGCUGGUGGGCUAAGGGAGGGGGCUCUGCCCCUCUGCCCUGCUCUGGUGAGACCCCCCCCCAGCGGCGCUGCCUCUGGCUCUGGGACCCCCAGCAUAAGAAGGACACGGAGCUGUUGGAGCGAGCCCAGAGGAGGCCACGGAGAUGCUCAGAGGGCCGGAGCCCCUCUGCUAUGGAAACAGGCUGAGAAAGAUGGAGCUGUUCAGCCUGGAGAAGGGAAGGCUCCAGGAGACCUUCCAGCACCCAAAGGGGCCGACAGGAAAGCUGGAGGGGGGGGGGCGGGCUGUGUGCAAGGGCCUCAGUGACAGGACAAAGGGGAACAACUAAGCUGGAAGAGGGUACAUUUCAAUUGGGUAUUAGGAAGAAAUCCUUCCCUGUGAGGGCGGGAAGGUGGUGGCACAGGCUGCCCGGAGAGGCUGUGGGUGCCCCAUCCCUGGCAGUGCCCAAGGCCAGGCUGGACGGGGCUGGGGGCAGCCUGGGCUGGGGGGGGUGUCCCUGCCCCUGGCACGGGUGGGACUGGGUGAUCUUUAAGGUCCCUGCCAACCCAAACCACUCCAUGGUUCUAUGUUAAUAGAUAGAGAAUGUAAUAGAUGGAGCAUCCUCUGCCGGCAGGGAGGAAGAACCAUUCCCAGCAGAAGGAAAUUCCCUCCACCUAGAACAGAAGUAACUGGAGGUUCUGGUUUGCACCACGAAAAGGCUGUGCUCAUGGGGGAACCCCCAGGGGAGCAAAACCCUGAUGGGCUUUUUUCACCCUGACCUUCUUGCAGGCAGGCGGGUGGCAGGACAAAGUGGCCCAGAACCACCAAUGGGUUUGGUCCCACGCUGGUGUUCCCCCACGCAGAGAGGUAACGAGAGUGAAAGACCGUAGCUCUGUCCUCCAAGUAAUCAAGGCUCUCAUAUAUUCUGGAAAAGAAAAAGGCAGCUGGUUUCCAAAGCACCUAAUUUUCUGUAGUUGUCUAACUAUGAGACUCUACCAGCAACACCCCGUUGCAGUCCCAGCUGCCAGCACCUCGUGAAGACCAGCCUGGAGGAAGGACGCCAGGGACCAGAUAUUGUGUGGACAGGGCUCAAUGUGAGCGUCAAACAGGGCUGCAGGCAUUUCCCUAGCAAGGAGGGUGCUGCUGGCGUGGGAGUGACAUGGAGGGGACAGCUGGGGGACACAGCCCACCUGCAGGUGUCUGGGUGGGUGGCAUCGCUGCUGAAGAGGUAGUCGGCAUCCCGCCAGUGGGUGAACGCCCCACCACCAGCCGCUGCGAGGCUUGUGUCAUCCCUGGAAAGGGGACGGGACGAGCCAUGGAGCAGGCGGCACCCGCGGCUGGCUUGCCCAAGGGAAGGCGCUGGCAGAGCCGAGCAGCCGCCGCUGGCCUGGAUCCUCCUUGCUCCUGUCGGCACCACCUCCUGAAUCUCUUCCAGCUUCUGCAGAAAGGUGAUGGCAGAAGAGGAGGUACGGAGAAGAAAGCAGCAUGUCCUUGCCCAGAUUGCAUGUUACCCCAUGCCGUCUGCUGCAUCAGAGCCUGCAGCUGCCCACCAGACCCCAUCCCCUUCAGAUGGUGCAUGCUUUGUGCUGCGGAAGGAAGAAGCCAUCCUGCCAGACAGCAUGUUAUCACCGAACCUGGUGAAUACGGAGCAAGCCCAGCCCAGCAGGGCACACGGGUGAGAGACAGCCACGUGAGGGCUCAAGCUGGUCUCCUCUGUGCUUGGACUUUCUGCACAUCCCAGGGGAAAGAUUUGCUAGUGCAUAUACUUAAGCAAAGCUGAAUAUGCCCUACGAGGUCAUAAGGUGUCAGCAGUACUGAAAAGUGAUACUGCAAAGCC